Molecule: transfer RNA, 65 nt
Filed under: Myosotella myosotis (mouse ear snail)
Lineage: Eukaryota; Metazoa; Mollusca; Gastropoda; Ellobiida; Ellobiidae
Description: tRNA-Pro
Rfam family: tRNA
About the family: Transfer RNA (tRNA) molecules are approximately 80 nucleotides in length. Their secondary structure includes four short double-helical elements and three loops (D, anti-codon, and T loops).
Source: RNAcentral
UCAAAAACAGUUUAAUAGAAAACACUAACUUUGGAAGUUAGAGGAUGGGGUAACUCAUUUUUGAA